AGCGAACACUGGCGGCAGGCUUAACACAUGCAAGUCGAGCGGGCCCUUCGGGGUCAGCGGCAGACGGGUGAGUAACACGUGGGAACGUACCCUUUGGUUCGGAAUAACGCUGGGAAACUAGCGCUAAUACCGGAUACUCCCUUUUGGGGAAAGGCUUGCUGCCGAAGGAUCCGCCCGCGUCUGAUUAGCUAGUUGGUGGGGUAAUGGCCUACCAAGGCGACGAUCAGUAGCUGGUCUGAGAGGAUGAUCACCCACGCUGGGACUGAGACACGGCCCACACUCCUACGGGAGGCAGCAGUGGGGAAUAUUGGACAAUGGGCGCAAGCCUGAUCCAGCCAUGCCGCGUGAGUGAUGAAGGCCUUAGGGUUGUAAAGCUCUUUUGUCCGGGACGAUAAUGACGGUACCGAAAGAGUAAGCCCCGGCUAUCUUCGUGCCAGCAGCCGCGGUAAUACGAAGGGGGCUAGCGUUGCUCGGAAUCACUGGGCGUAGAGGGCGCGUAGGCGGCCAUUCAAGUCGGGGGUGAAAGCCUGUGGCUCAACCACAGAAUUGCCUUC
This 554-nucleotide ribosomal RNA is filed under the name uncultured bacterium. RNAcentral's name for it is "bacterial SSU rRNA". It matches the Rfam family "Bacterial small subunit ribosomal RNA", at positions 28 to 628 of the family's 1533-position model. The record is from RNAcentral.